GGGCCGUUAGCUCAGUUGGUUAGAGCAGAGGACUCAUAAUCCUUUGGUCCGGGGUUCAAGUCCCUGACGGCCCACCA
Molecule: transfer RNA, 77 nt
Filed under: Solemya velum gill symbiont
Lineage: Bacteria; Pseudomonadati; Pseudomonadota; Gammaproteobacteria
Also listed under: 4 other names
Description: tRNA-Met
Rfam family: tRNA
About the family: Transfer RNA (tRNA) molecules are approximately 80 nucleotides in length. Their secondary structure includes four short double-helical elements and three loops (D, anti-codon, and T loops).
Source: RNAcentral